GCGGCAGCCAGGGCUUCUGGCACGUCGGGCGCCAGCACUGUCGCUUGUGGCCACGGCCCGCGGAGCUUCAGUCCCUUGAGCUCCUCCUCCAGAGCAGGGCCGAGGGUCUCGCCCCAGCCCGACUGGCUGUGCCUGCAGAUGAUGCUGGUCACGCAGCUGUGCAGCACAGCUGUUAGGACCAAAUUCAUCUUCCCCGCAAGGACGAGUCAGGCCCAGUGUUGCACUGGUCCUGCUGUCUGGCUUCUGCUGCGGAACUUCCUCACCUUCCAGGCAGGGCCCAGGAGCCACAGGAGCGUGGGCAGGGCAGGGUCUGCCCUCUGUGCUUCCGACUCGCCGCUUGCGAGCUGGAGGGACAGUCACCUCGACCUGGUGGGCUGGGUGGGUCUGGCUGUGCUGUGGGCUGUGCCUCACUCCUGCAAGUGGGCACUCAGCGGGGUUGGGGUCACGAGGCUGAGGUCGGCUUAAAGCAGGAGUGGGCAGUUGGCACAUCAUGUUUCUCCUGCAUCAGGGCUGUGGCAGGAAUGCCGGGUGACUACCGUAGACACUUGUCAAGGUUGAGGUUCAGAGAAAGGUGUGGGGUAUCCCGGAGGUCACCACAGUGUGCCAGGAGGUUCAGGUUGGCCUUCCAGAGCCCGGCCUGUGUGAAAUCCCCACGAGCACAGAGGACAGAACGAAACAUGGUGUUGUUUUGAAACAGGGUGUUACUGUGUCACCCAGGCUGGAGUAGAGUGGUGCCACAUUUUUUGUAGAGACGGGGUGUCCCUGUGUAGCCCAGGCUGGUCUUGAACUCCUGGGUACAAGCAGUCCUCCCUCGUGGGCCUCCCAAAGUGCUGGGAUUACAGGCGUGGGCUCCCGUGACCAGCCUGGAACGUGCUGAUGAGCCUCUUUUUCUCCUGAAACCCCGGUGGGAACAGAUGGUGGAUGCUUCCAAAAGCAUCGAAGCUGUCCAUGAGGACAUCCGCGUGCUCUCUGAGGACGCCAUCCGCACUGCCACAGAGAAGCCGCUGGGGGAGCUAUGGAAGUGACCCAAGGCUGCCCACUGGAGACGCCUCUCCCUGCAGUCCCCCGAGAGGUGGGAGACUCGCGGAAGGCCCCGUCCCCAGCAGAGUCCAGACCCCACAACUUCAGGAGCUCUUUCCCGGCAGCAGAGAUCUGCAGGCUGCCUCUUCUGCCCCGGAGCUGGGGUGCACUGGGGACCCCCGUGGUGGGGACCUUGGCAGUGUGGACAUGAGCAGAGCGAUGGAGCAGUCUCCUGCCCUCUCCCCUGUCCUGAUGGCACUCUGUUGUAUUUUCUUACUGAAGUUCAGUGAUAACUCUGAGCAGUUUCAUUGUGAUCACUGUAAAUGGUAAUCAGUUGGAAUUCUCCUAAAUGUCUUCCAGACACUAGUAAAAAACGACCUGAAAAUUGUUUGUGGAACGCUUCACUUUUCUUAGACUGAGGACGGAGCUGGCUUUGAAUGGGAACCUCCAUCCCAGGAGAGAAGAGCCUUCAUUGGGCCCAGUAGGGCCUUCCUGGACCCUGGUUCCUGCCUAGUUGAGGGAGUCCCACUGUGGGUCUGAACAGUUGCAGCCAUGCCCUGGGCUCGCUGGGUCCAGCCAGGCUAUAUCCGAGUGUCAUCACAGCUUACGUCCUGAACUCACCUAAGUUAACUCUGCUAUUUUCAUUGCAACCCUGGAGCUUAACUUCUCAUCCUAUCCUUUAUUUUUUAUUUUUUUGGAAACAGGGUCUCACUGUCGCCCAGGCUGGAGUGCAGUGGCACGAUCGUGGCUCACUGCAGCCUUGACCUCCUGGGCUCAGGUGAUCCUCCUACUUCAGCCUCCUGAGUAGCUAGGCCUACAGGCCUUCACUGUGCCUGGGUAAUUUUUUUGUGGAGACAGGAUUUCGCUAUGUUGCCAGCCAGGCUUGUCUUAAACUCCUGGGCUCAAGUGAUCUACCUGCCUUGGCCUCCCCAAAGUGCUGGGAGUACAGGCAUGAGCCACCAUGCCGAGCCCAUUGCAUCCCCUUUUAAGUGACACUUAGAAGGAAUGAUUUGACACUCCUGGCAGAAUCUGUCCCACAGAGCACACUCCGCAUAGACAGCAGCAUACAGUGUGCUGGAGUAGAAGGCAGGCAGGGUCCCCCAUCUGUGGGGGCAGCAGCUGUGGGUCUCAGCACCCUUCUGUGGCCAAGAGACAAACCCAGGCAAAACAAAAGGAUUUCACUCUUGGGUAAGCAUUGCCAGGGGCUGUGGGAUGGGCCUGGGUGAGGAACCUUCAGAUGAGACUUUCCUGGACUAUCCAGGUGGGCCCAGUGUCAUCACAGGGGCCUUUUUUUGUUGUCUUAAGACUGGGUCUCACUCUGUCAUCCAGGCUGGAGUGCAGUGGUGCAAUCUUGACUCACUGCAGCCUCUCUUUCCUGGGCUCAAGUGAUCCACCUUAGCCUCCCAAAGUGCUGGGAUUACAGGCUGGCGCCACCAUGCCUGGCCCAUCACGGGUCCGCAUAACAGGGAGGCAGGCGGUCCGAGUCAGGAAAUGAGAUGCCAACAGCAAAAGCUGGAGAGAUGCCAUGUUGCUGGCUGUGUGGUUGGAGGAAAGAGCCAUGAGCCAAGCAGUUUCUGGCAUCCAGAAGCUAGAAAGGCACAGCAACGUUCUCCCCUAGAGCCCACAGCACGAUAUGGCUGUCUGCCCUCCGGGUCUGGAAGAGGCUGUGCUGUUCCAGGCACUGAAUGUGAUCAUCUUUUAGAGCAGCCACAAGAAGCGAAUACGAGCAUCGGAGAGGCCACAAGUCCUCAGCCACCUCACCGGGGACCCAGCAGGGCCCCCUCCGAUCUGGCUUUGGGCCCUUCACACCUAUACCAGGGCUGCCCACAGGGAUGCACUGGCCAGAGUGAGCAAUGUCCUCACCAAGCCCCCUGCUGUGCCCCAGGCAUGGCCUCCCACAGGCCAGGACAGUCACUGCGCACUUGGGGAAGGCUUUGCUAUGAUUCAAAUCGAGGCAAACCCUGCAACUCCAGGCACUUCCUGUGACUUCCUCCUGCUGAAGAUGGGAACCGCCAUUUUACUUUCCUAAAAUCCUAUUUUCCUUGCACUUUUUCCUUCUAGGGUUGUAUGAGGUGGCUGAUGCCACGGCUGGUAGAGAGCCAGGCUGCAGGCAGGACAGGCCCCCUGCCAGGGCUGGGGACACACCUGCUCAGGGCCCCACAGCCCGCCACGCAGGCAGCCACAUCCUUUACGUGUGAACGGGCUGAAACAUUCACUUAUUUUUUUUCUGGAACUCACAUUCAAUUAGAACUUAAGGAAAAAAUAGACACAAGGUUUGUUUUCUACUGAAACUUAUUAUUUGCCAUUAAGAAUUGCAAACUAUACUACUAAGAAUGAACAACAUUCUCUUCAUUAAGCCUUUUUCAAAACACACGAGACAAAGCUCCCCUUUGGUCAAGGUGUCCCACACAUUACCACUGCAGCUCCCAGCACAGCGGCGCACCAUGAACUCGGACGUGGAGCCCAAGGAAUGGAGAUCGCACCAGCCUUCCCUGCUUCCCCACCCCAACUACACCCAAGGGAGAAAGGAUACGAGGAAAUACACUAUGUCUUCAAUGCUUGGGGGGCUGGGGGUGUCCUCUGCUACCAGGUGGGCCGGUCAGUGCCGACUGUCCGGCGCGCGUCCUCGGGGAUCUCUGGCUCCCCGACCUACACAAGCAGCAGCAGCAGCAGCGAGUCCUGCCAACGCCGCAGUAGCUGCUCAUGAGAAAAGUGCCCACGCUCCCCAAGCCCUCCUGUUUACAUUUCCUAGUGGGGCAAAGAUACUUUCCCAGGACAGGCAGCAGAGCAGCGGGGCAGAGUGCACUCUGGGACCCGGGACAGCAGGUUACACAGGGUCAGGCGGUGGUGGGACUGUGAAUAAAUAAAGUCCAAGUUUACAUUCUCUCCUGCCUUUUUAUAUAUAUGUUACUUGUUUCUGCACAUGAUUACAAAAACUGAAUUAGGAUGAAUUAAGGUCCAUGCCUUUUUUUUAUUCUUUUGUGAUGGAGUCUCACUCUGUUGCCCAGGCUGAAGUGCAGUGGCAUGAUCUUGGCUCCCUGCAACCUCCACCUUCCGGGUUCAAGAAAUUCUCCUGCCUCAUCCUCCCGAGUAGCUGGGAUUACAGACAUCUGCCCCUCCCAAAGUGCUGGGAUUACAGGCGUGAGCCACAGCAUCCGGCCCACUCCUAUCUUUUUAAAGAGCUGAAAAACAUCAUGAUGUCCCUGCUACCUCUCUAAAGCCACUCCUGAAUCUUCAGAAGUCCCUACUAUUCUUUGACCUGUAGGCUUUAUUCAAUAUAUAGACUAAAAUCCAGAAAACUUAUUCUCAAGGAAAAAGGAUGAAAACACCACCGGUCUAAUUUCUUUUCUUUUUUUUUUUUUUUUUUUUUGAGACGGAGUCUCACUCUGUCGCCCACCAGGCUGGAGUGCAGUAGCGCGAUCUCGGCUCACUGCAAGCUCUGCCUCCCGGCUCAUGCCAUUCUCCUGCCUCAGCCUCCUGAGUAGCUGGGACUACAAGCGCCCGCCACCACGCCUGGCUAAUUUUUUGUAUUUUUUUUAGUAGAGACGGGGUUUCACUGUGUUAGCCAGGAUGGUCUCAUAGGUCAAAAAUGCACUGAGGCCAGGCACAGGGGCUCAUGCCUGUAAUCCCAGCACUUGGGGAGGCCAAGGCGGGUGGAUCACCUGAGGUCAGGAGUUGGAGACCAGCCUGGUCAACAUGGUGAAAUCCCAUCUCUAUUAAAAACACAAAAAGUUACUCGGGCAUGGUGGCAGGUGCCUGUAAUCCCAGCUACUCGGGAGGCUGAGGCAGGAGAAUUGCUUAAACCCAGGAGGCGGAGGCUGCAGUGACCUGAGAUCGCGCCACUGCAUUCCAGCCCAGGUGGGAGAGUGAAACUCUGUCUCAAAAAAAAAAAAAAAAAAAGCAUUGAAUACACGUAAUCUACCUAACAUCAUAGCUUAGCCUAGCCUGCCUUAAAUGUGCUCAGAACACUUACAUUAGCCUACAGUUGGGCAAACUCAGCUGGCAACACAGUGCCCUGUAGAGCAGGGGUCAUUCCCCCUUCUCAUGAUGUGGCUGACGAGGAGCUAUCUGGCAUCUCGAGAGUAUCUGGAGGCAUACUGCUAGCCCAGAAAAAGAUCAAAAUUCAAAACGUCAAGUAUGGUUUCCAUAGAAUGCAUACUGCUUUCACACUAUCGUAAAGUCAAAAAAUUGUAAGUCAAACCAUGGUAGUUUGGAGACCAUCUGUACUUCAGAAGAAUGUGGCGUAUGUCAUCAGGAAAAGGACCAUAUUGUUGAAUCAGUAACAGUCUGCAGUAACAGAAUCUGGAAGCUGAGAAACUUCUAGGAUGUCUAGUUUCCCAUAUUAAAAAUAUAAAUGGUAAAGGAAUGAGAGAAGUAUAGAUAAGGAAGAAAAGGAAAAA
This 5420-nucleotide long non-coding RNA is filed under the name Homo sapiens (human). Its description in RNAcentral is "non-protein coding lnc-DTYMK-2:2". The record is from RNAcentral. Lineage: Eukaryota; Metazoa; Chordata; Mammalia; Primates; Hominidae.